Danio rerio (zebrafish) is the source of this 55-nucleotide non-coding RNA. The record is from Rfam. NCBI's taxonomy places the organism in Eukaryota, Metazoa, Chordata, Actinopteri, Cypriniformes, Danionidae.
CCUUGUCCUCAUUGGUAAGUCGCUUUGGAUAAAAGCGUCUGCUAAAUGACUAAAU